Molecule: ribosomal RNA, 776 nt
Filed under: uncultured Neocallimastigales
Lineage: Eukaryota; Fungi; Neocallimastigomycota; Neocallimastigomycetes; Neocallimastigales
Description: partial large subunit ribosomal RNA
Rfam family: Eukaryotic large subunit ribosomal RNA
Source: RNAcentral
UAUGUGAUCGUCUCUCGCAUAUCAAUAAGCGGAGGAAAAGAAACUAACAAGGAUUCCCCUAGUAACGGCGAGUGGAGCGGGAAGAGCUCAAAUUUGAAAUCUUAAAGGGUUUCCCUUUACGAAUUGUAGUUUAAAGAAGUGUUUUCUGUUGAGGUUUUGGUAAAAGUUCUUUGGAAUAGGACAUCAUAGAGGGUGAGAAUCCCGUAUUUGACCUUUACUUUCAACUUUGUGAUACACUUUCAAAGAGUCGGAUUGUUUGGGAAUGCAGGUCCAAAAUGGGUGGUAAAUUUCAUCUAAAGCUAAAUAUUGGCGAGAGACCGAUAGCGAACAAGUACCGUGAGGGAAAGAUGAAAAGAACUUUGAAAAGAGAGUUAAACAGUACGUGAAAUUGUCAAAAGGGAAGCGUAUGACACCAGUGUUGUUUUUCUGAAAAUCAAUUAAAGAACUGUUUAUGCUAAGCUGUUUAGACUUUAUCAGCUAUACUGUUUAGUUUUGAGCUUUUCUUUAAUGCACUUUUCAGUUAACAAGUCAACAUCAAUUUCUUUUGCUGUAAAAAAGCUUGAGGAAGGUGGCUUGAGAUUCGUCUUAAGUGUUUAUAGCCUCUUGCCUAUGCAGUCGGAGAGAUUGAGGUCUGCAGCGUAGAUCCUUCGGGGCUAAAUGCAUUUGUGCUAAGUUAUAGCAUUUUAUAGACAACUUGUUAACUAUGAUUUGUCUUGUAGCUUACUCGCUUAUGUUAUUUUACCUACGCUUAGGAUGUUGAUCUACAGAGCGAGAGU